RNAcentral lists this ribosomal RNA (844 nucleotides) under uncultured bacterium. Its description in RNAcentral is "bacterial SSU rRNA". It matches the Rfam family "Bacterial small subunit ribosomal RNA", at positions 26 to 896 of the family's 1533-position model. The record is from RNAcentral.
AGGACGAACGCUGGCGGCGUGCUUAACACAUGCAAGUCGAACGAAGCAGCAAUGCUUAGUGGCGGACGGGUGAGUAACGCGUAGGUAACCUGCUUUAUAGUGGGGGAUACCCAGCCGAAAGGUUGGCUAAUACCGCAUAAGCUCGACUCUUGGAAUAGAGUUGAGGAAAGAUUUAUUGCUAUAAGAGGGGCCUGCGUUCGAUUAGCUAGUUGGUGAGGUAAUGGCUCACCAAGGCGACGAUCGAUAGCUGGUCUGAGAGGACGAUCAGCCACACUGGAACUGAGACACGGUCCAGACUCCUACGGGAGGCAGCAGUGGGGAAUUUUCCGCAAUGGGCGAAAGCCUGACGGAGCAACGCCGCGUGGAUGAUGAAGUCUUUCGGGACGUAAAAUCCUUUCAGCAGGGACGAAGCGAGUGACGGUACCUGCAGAAGAAGCAUCGGCUAACUACGUGCCAGCAGCCGCGGUAAUACGUAGGAUGCGAGCGUUGUCCGGAAUUAUUGGGCGUAAAGAGCUCGUAGGCGGUUUGUCGCGUCUGCUGUGAAAACCCGAGGCUCAACCUCGGGCCUGCAGUGGGUACGGGCAGACUAGAGUGUGGUAGGGGAGACUGGAAUUCCUGGUGUAGCGGUGGAAUGCGCAGAUAUCAGGAGGAACACCAAUGGCGAAGGCAGGUCUCUGGGCCACAACUGACGCUGAGGAGCGAAAGCGUGGGGAGCGAACAGGAUUAGAUACCCUGGUAGUCCACGCCGUAAACGGUGGGCACUAGAUGUGGGGCUCUUUCCAUGAGUUCCGCGUCGCAGCUAACGCAUUAAGUGCCCCGCCUGGGGAGUACGGCCGCAAGGCUA